GAUGAACGCUAGCUACAGGCUUAACACAUGCAAGUCGAGGGGCAGCAUGGUCUUAGCUUGCUAAGGCCGAUGGCGACCGGCGCACGGGUGAGUAACACGUAUCCAACCUGCCGUCUACUCUUGGACAGCCUUCUGAAAGGAAGAUUAAUACAAGAUGGCAUCAUGAGUCCGCAUGUUCACAUGAUUAAAGGUAUUCCGGUAGACGAUGGGGAUGCGUUCCAUUAGAUAGUAGGCGGGGUAACGGCCCACCUAGUCUUCGAUGGAUAGGGGUUCUGAGAGGAAGGUCCCCCACAUUGGAACUGAGACACGGUCCAAACUCCUACGGGAGGCAGCAGUGAGGAAUAUUGGUCAAUGGGCGAGAGCCUGAACCAGCCAAGUAGCGUGAAGGAUGACUGCCCUAUGGGUUGUAAACUUCUUUUAUAAAGGAAUAAAGUCGGGUAUGCAUACCCGUUUGCAUGUACUUUAUGAAUAAGGAUCGGCUAACUCCGUGCCAGCAGCCGCGGUAAUACGGAGGAUCCGAGCGUUAUCCGGAUUUAUUGGGUUUAAAGGGAGCGUAGAUGGAUGUUUAAGUCAGUUGUGAAAGUUUGCGGCUCAACCGUAAAAUUGCAGUUGAUACUGGAUAUCUUGAGUGCAGUUGAGGCAGGCGGAAUUCGUGGUGUAGCGGUGAAAUGCUUAGAUAUCACGAAGAACUCCGAUUGCGAAGGCAGCCUGCUAAGCUGCAACUGACAUUGAGGCUCGAAAGUGUGGGUAUCAAACAGGAUUAGAUACCCUGGUAGUCCACACGGUAAACGAUGAAUACUCGCUGUUUGCGAUAUACAGCAAGCGGCCAAGCGAAAGCGUUAAGUAUUCCACCUGGGGAGUACGCCGGCAACGGUGAAACUCAAAGGAAUUGACGGGGGCCCGCACAAGCGGAGGAACAUGUGGUUUAAUUCGAUGAUACGCGAGGAACCUUACCCGGGCUUAAAUUGCAGAUGAAUUACGGUGAAAGCCGUAAGCCGCAAGGCAUCUGUGAAGGUGCUGCAUGGUUGUCGUCAGCUCGUGCCGUGAGGUGUCGGCUUAAGUGCCAUAACGAGCGCAACCCUUGUUGUCAGUUACUAACAGGUUCUGCUGAGGACUCUGACAAGACUGCCAUCGUAAGAUGUGAGGAAGGUGGGGAUGACGUCAAAUCAGCACGGCCCUUACGUCCGGGGCUACACACGUGUUACAAUGGGGGGUACAGAGGGCCGCUACCACGCGAGUGGAUGCCAAUCCCCAAAACCUCUCUCAGUUCGGACUGGAGUCUGCAACCCGACUCCACGAAGCUGGAUUCGCUAGUAAUCGCGCAUUCAGCCACGGCGCGGUGAAUACGUUUCCCGGGCCU
Molecule: ribosomal RNA, 1360 nt
Filed under: uncultured bacterium
Lineage: Bacteria
Description: bacterial SSU rRNA
Rfam family: Bacterial small subunit ribosomal RNA
Source: RNAcentral